Molecule: long non-coding RNA, 1972 nt
Filed under: Marmota monax (woodchuck)
Lineage: Eukaryota; Metazoa; Chordata; Mammalia; Rodentia; Sciuridae
Source: RNAcentral
GUCUGAAGUUGUCUGUCCCAAUUUCUUUUUGAGUGUGGGCUGGCUCAAUACCUCAGGGUCCAGAAAGUCCUAACCUCUCCUCAAGAGAUAUACAUGAGCCCCUGAUCCUUCAAGGACAAACCACUGUCUAGAACAGUUUCCUAGAGUAGUUCUCAAAGAAGAAGUGUUCAUGCCUGUAAUUUCAGUUACUCAGGAGGUUGAGGUAGGAGGAUCACAAAUUUGAGGUCAUCCAGGACAACUUAGUGAGACUGUAUCUCUAAAAUAUAAACAAACAAACAAAUAACUAAAUAAAUGUGUUCUUUGGCACUCUCCAUUUAUAAGAUGAAGAAUUUACCUACGUUUCUAGUCUAGAAUGAGGAUUCCUAUGAAAAUCUCAUCUUAUAGUCUAGAGUAGCAAUCUCAUGAAACAGUAGCUUCAAAUAGAGAACCAGCCUAUGGGCCUUAACACCACCAGACCUGGAGCAGAGAUUCCUCAUGGCUUGACUCAGGGUUCAAUAUACAUAACAGAGUCUUGAAUAACCAGACAGCAGAUACCACAAUUUCAAUUGCAGCUUGAAUUUCAUCGCAAUGGAAUGAAUUCUGAAAAAAAUUCUGGAGUCCUGAUUCCUGAGUCUUAAUUUCAGAGACCAGAGCAGAGGGACAAGGUGAUCUGAUCCCAUUCUUCAGUCAGGAUCAGAGAACUGACCCAGAGACAGAGGACCUGAAUCCAGAUUGUCAUGGCAGGCACCAUAGCUCACACCUAGAAACAGAGUUCAAAGCAAAAGUUUUGGUCAAGAUCCUGAGUCCAGUCCAGAGAGCAGAUGCCAGAACAUAGAGACCAAAGUCUAUCAAGGACCUACAGUCCGUACAGUAUCCUGGAAAGGGAAAUGACAUAUAGUGGGGAGACCAACAGAGUUGCCAUCUACAUGAUGCUCAGCACUCUGAGAGAAUCAAGAGAUCUGGUCCCUAAAAUAUAAAAGAUCUUCCUUACCUCUGGCAUUAAAAUGCAUUUCCUUCAGUCUACAAUGAGCUUCCUUGUACUUCUAUACUUUAGAACUGUUUCUCUUCCCCAGAAAUGCACAAUCUCUGGAUGUUCUCUACAAUAUUAUUUUUUUCUUCAUAGCAGAAAUUGUGCUAAUGUAAGUUUUACUUACCCCAUUAAAUUAUCAUCUCACAAAGGAAAUUUUUCUCCUUUGUCUCCCUCCAUCUUGUGCCAGAGACUGACCUAUAGCAGAUUCGGGAUAGUAAUCUGUAGAACAUGCAAAGAAUGGGCAUGGGGAUGUGUUGGCUCUCAGUGCAUCCAUCCCAAGCCUCUACUGUUCUCACUGUGGCCAGAAGGUGGCAGGACUGACCCAUGCCUUCCCAGUGGACACCCAAAAUGUGUUUCCUUCAAAUGCUUCUGGUCCUCAGAGUUCAGUGAGUCCCCAUCCCCUGCUGUGUUUCUUAGAGGCCAUACAGAGAUGCUGGAGAGCACAAGAUCCUCCUCCACCACCCUUCUAUGGAUCUUUAAAGAUGGGAGUGAGCGGGGGGCAAAUAUUCCUGGGUCAGACACCCCUUUUUCUAGGCCUCUGUGUCUAUCCUGUCUCAGGAAGCAAUCCUUUUCUUUCACUGUUUUUUUUUCUGAGGGAGCAAGGGGAGCAGUCAGCCUUCUGAUACAUUUUUAGUUGCUAGUUACUCUCCUCAGUCCAUUUUAUGAGUAAAUAACAGGUUUAACCAGGUAAGGGCCCUUGCCUACGUAGCUAUGCUCAGGUAGGGAUGGAGCAGAAUCACAUGUGUGCACCUACCUCUCUUGUCCCUAAUACCCUCCCAUGCCACUCCACUGACUUUGCCUGGUUUCUGGGCACCCAGCUGAUCAGGAGGAGCAAUUGGUAUAAAGCCAAGCCCUUUGGAACCAGCCUCCUCUCAGCAUUUUUGCCAGAGAACUCCUUCCUUAAUAUUAUCCUUCCCAAAUUUACUAUUCGGUCAUCCUUGUGCAUGAUCUCUACUUUUCCAU